GAAUGUUUUGUCUCUUGGUAAAUGGCCUCGUGAAGACCUUUUAACUUAUUUUUGUCUAUAUAUAAGUCUUUGAUGCGGUCAUCAGACACCACGUUGUCAAAGAGUCGCUUGUGCAGUUCGACUGAAGGUUUGUAGUGGGACGUGUUUGCGUGUGAGAGCACAUCACGAAUAAGUGUGCUCACACACUCUUUAACCUCAACAUCAUGAGAUGUCCUACUACCGCCAGAUUUGGAUUUUUCCUCCGAGAUACGAAGAGUUGCUGUUGCAUCUCAUCAGACGGCGGCACCUUUGCCUCUCUUGAGGCGCGUAUAAUCACAGCUUUUAUGAGCUCUUUAACGAGCCGCUGUUGCUCCAACAGUGGUUCCACAGUCACAUCACCAGGCGCCUGCUUGGUGUUUUCAUCUGGGCACCCUGUUUUCAGUGCACGCCACUGUUCUUCUGUUUUUUUCUGUUUUGUUUUGGAUUUUAUAGUUUCCCUACAUUCACUCAAAGGAUUCAUGUCUGUUUUUGUAUUGAUGUUUUCUGUUAGCUGAUGCGCUCGCCUGUGAAACAUUAAUGCUUCUUGGCUGGUGAGCUAUGCUAAUUUAAAUGUUUAUGUAGCUUCACUCAUUCACCUGCAGAUACAGACGGCUAUCAGAAUGGUCACAUGUCUGUCUUAUUAAAGAACAUUACAGGUGAUCACGCGCGGUGAGUUACAGCCAGCAAGGAGUCACGCAGUUUUUGUGUGCAUGUCUGUGCACGUGGACAUUUAUUAUAGCUUUGUUUUGUCUUCACAGAGUGGUUUUAUCAUUCAAUCAGCACACCACCCACUCUUUUUAUGUAUUUAUUUAUUUUAGCUUCUUAAAAGGCUGAUGGAAACAAAGCAUUUGCCAGGUUCCCACAACUACUUUUACUUUGAAAGAAGGCCCGGAAGUUUUAUUUUUUGCCUGCAGUAGUCCACAAGUCACAUCGCUGCUUGGUGCCAGAAUAAUUAUGAUGAUGCACUAAUCAAAAAUGAAACUCAAUGCUUCACAAUCCAGUUGCCUCCAUAUAUGAAAACAGCCCUUUAAGGUUAAACAUUCAAAUCUCAGACACGGAUUCCCUGUCAGAAUAAAUGUUUCAAGCUUUCUGUUAACCUGUUUCAAAUUUACAUUUUGAACUUGAUUUUCAAUUUGAUUGUUCAGGUUUAGCCAGCAAAAUCUACAGAUUCUAUAGUUUUUGCUGGCUAAACCAGCAAAAACCUGGCUAAACCUUACAUUUAUAAAAAUAAUUAAAUAAUUUUGCAUCUCUAUCAUAGAUAACAUGGCUGAAAGUCAAGAUGUUUGGUCCUGAAAAUGUUCCCCAAGUGACUCCUGAAAAACAGCAGCACAGAGAAACUUUUAGCAGUGGUUUUCUGUAUGAUUUCAUUGCUGUUUCACAUCACCAUGGAUGAAUUUCAGCCCACACUUCUUUACAAUGUUUCUUCAGUGUUUUGAAGUUUGGGCGUAUUUGUUUAUGCAUCUUUAUACAUCUCUCUCUUAUGGUUGCACCAAAGGUUUCCCAUCAGGUUGAGGUCUGAACUUUGUCUGGGUCAUUGCAUUGACUCUAGAGUACUUUGGUAUCAAGAGGAGUUCAUGGAGAAGCCAGUGACUGAAAGGAGCACAGAUCCUGUGCAAAACAAACCCAUCAUCACUCCUCCACCACCGUGCUUAACAGUUGGCUUGUGUAACUACCAACCGCAGGGUGAAUAAUCUAAUGUGAAGACUGGCUUCUACCUUGAAUGCUUUCCACUUGUGAAUAAUUUCUCUUACUGUAGAAUGAUGGACUUUGGAGUUUUUUGGAAUGGCCUUAUAACUCCACCAUGCCACCGUGGCAUGGUGGUUAGCACUGUUGCCACACAGCAAGAAGAUCCUGAGUUCAAUUCCACCAUCAGGCCGGGGUCUUUCUGUGUGGAGUUUCCUCCGGGUACUCCGGCUUCCUCCCACCGUCCAAAGACAUGCAGCUUGUGGGGUUAGGUUAAUUGGAUAAUCCAAAUUGCCACUAGGUGUGAAUGGUAGUCCGUCCCUGCAACAGACUGGCGACCUGUCCAGGGUGUACCCCGCCUCUGGCCCUAUGACAGCUGGGAUAGGCUCCAGCGCGCCCCGCGCCCCUAAAAAGGAUAAGCGGAAGCGAAUGGAUGGAUGGAUGGCCUUAUAACUCUCCCCAGAUUGAUGUGUAGCAGCAUUUGCUCCUCCAGGGUCAUCGCUGAUGACUUUCUUCUUUAGAGUUGUGUUAACAAACAUCAUAAAGCUUCAGACCAGGAAACUGCAAAACCUUCUGAUUUUAUAGACAUGGUCAACACUACCUCACAGUAACAUGAAGCAGUGUGCGGAGAUCACAGUACGGGGAACAUUAGUGUGAUCGUGUGCUAUUAACUUGUUGCUUUUAAAAUGUCAGUUGACAUCUUCAAAGCAAUUUUGGUGCAGUGAUAGCAACAAGAUGGAGU
Molecule: long non-coding RNA, 2443 nt
Organism: Oreochromis niloticus (Nile tilapia)
Lineage: Eukaryota; Metazoa; Chordata; Actinopteri; Cichliformes; Cichlidae
Source: Ensembl